ACCUGCCCUUGAAGUAGGGGAUAACACUUGGAAACAGGUGCUAAUACCGUAUAACAACCAAAACCACCUGGUUUUGGUUUAAAAGAUGGCUUCGGCUAUCACUUUAGGAUGGACCCGCGGCGUAUUAGCUUGUUGGUAAGGUAACGGCCUACCAAGGCAAUGAUACGUAGCCGACCUGAGAGGGUAAUCGGCCACAUUGGGACUGAGACACGGCCCAAACUCCUACGGGAGGCAGCAGUAGGGAAUCUUCCACAAUGGACGAAAGUCUGAUGGAGCAACGCCGCGUGAGUGAUGAAGGGUUUCGGCUUGUAAAACUCUGUUGUUGGAGAAGAACAGGUGUGAGAGUAACUGUUCACAUCUUGACGGUAUCCAACCAGAAAGCCACGGCUAACUACGUGCCAGCAGCCGCGGUAAUACGUAGGUGGCAAGCGUUGUCCGGAUUUAUUGGGCGUAAAGCGAGCGCAGGCGGUUUCUUAGGUCUGAUGUGAAAGCCUUCGGCUUAACCGGAGAAGUGCAUCAGAAACCAGGAGACUUGAGUGCAGAAGAGGACAGUGGAACUCCAUGUGU
This 567-nucleotide ribosomal RNA is filed under the name uncultured bacterium. Its description in RNAcentral is "bacterial SSU rRNA". It matches the Rfam family "Bacterial small subunit ribosomal RNA", at positions 124 to 676 of the family's 1533-position model. The record is from RNAcentral.